Molecule: long non-coding RNA, 2690 nt
Organism: Sycon ciliatum
Lineage: Eukaryota; Metazoa; Porifera; Calcarea; Leucosolenida; Sycettidae
Exons: 5
Source: RefSeq, a predicted model, not a curated record
UGCACAACACCAUAUUAUGGGCACUGAGUCCCUGACCGACGGUACAUGGGCACUGAGUCCCUGACCGACGGUACCAAUCAGUUUCAGCACAUCUUGGAUGCACCCUCCAACUACUGAGUAGUUACUUCUUAGUAAGGUUCCUUGCCACUCAUGUCGACUGUCGUGAAUCAAGCUAGACCCACACUGUCACCAGGUCACACUCACACAAAUCUUUCCUACAACCAGCACAAAGCUACAUCUCCAUCAUCCAUCCAUAUCUCAUCAUUGCCAUCAUUCAUCAAUCAGCAGAGACAGUCAACUCAUAAUCCGUAGACAUCAUCGAUUCAUGACUGCCGCCUGCCGGUCCGUGCCGGACGUGCCGGUGUCAUGUAGAUCUACAUGACAUGACUGUAACGUAGCUACAUAGAGUCAGAUGACUCAGAUCUAGGUACAGUAGAUCUACCAUUAUGAUACCGUGCGCACUGCGCAGCACAUGGUUGAAGAACGACAUGAGUCACACUCACCGGACACAGUCUUGCUUGCGGGCCGUGGCCGUGGCCGAGAUCCAGCCUGCAGGCUGCACUCAGCUGGAGGCCGGAUUAGUUGGCGGGUGCAUUUGGCCCGUGGCGUUGGAGCUUUGCGCUACCCGUGAUCAGUGAUGGCGGACCGUUCUUGGAUGGAUCCUGGACUGGAGGGGAGGCUAGGCGAUGUAGUUCAGCUUCCAACUCUACUGGCUAUGUCACUGCUGGUGGCAAACAGCAAUGGUGAGCACUGGUGAUCCGCCGUAGCUAAAGCUGCGUUCGUUUGGGACAUGUGGGUGCCUCCAAUCAUUUGACUGAGUCAUAAAUUCACUCCUUCAAAGUCACCUGUUCAGGUGAGCUUCACUGUAUCAGUAGGUUGUACAGUACAGUGUAGUGAGCAGUUGGUGCUCUCCGUUUAGGCUUGCCGGGAUGAUGACCUUCCAACUGUUUUAGUUUUCUCCCUUGUUGUGUGCUUGUGCGUUACCUGGCUCUAGUUCUAAAGGAAAGACACGUAUGGUAGUGCCUGUAGUACGGUUCUGUUCUUUCCGGCCAUUCAUAGCCCCUCUCCUGCAGGGUACUAACAGUAGUACUUUUUUCUAUCCAGCUGGUUCAGCUGAGCAAGGACCAGCUCACAGAUUACAGCAUAGAAGGAGGGAGUCCACAAAGGGAGUGAGAAUCAGCUGGCUGACUUUGCAUCCCUGGGCCACGGCCAAGUCAAAACGCAAGAUGGAGACAGCCUACAGGCCAGUUUGGUGGUUCGCCUGACGCAUGCCAAGGACUUGGGAGUAUCUACUGCUUUGCUAAUGCCACGUGAUGUGCAAGUGAUGCGUCUGCCGAAGAAAAUGUCUCAGCCCGUAGACCCAUGAUUAUCCCAACUCAGUUACCCAUCGCCAACGCACUGCCCGCCUGCCUGGGAAACUGGAAACACCCAGUGGAUGUGAUCACAUGCUGCAUUGCACGUUGCCUAACCCGCGGCAACGGCCAUAUCAUCAACGCACAUACCGUUUACUUACUGCGACCGUGCCCCAAGCAAAGUAAGUCCACAGAUGUGCUUGCUUUGCUGUAGACAACCAGCCAACCAGCCAACCUUCUAAGUUCUAUUACCAGACGCCUUUCUCCAGAUCUAUGGACGUUGAGUUUGAGUUCCUCUGAUCGAGUGUAGUACCGCCAAGCCAUGAAGCAACGAAUCAGCCACUGUGCUCUGUACCAUUCAUACAGUGUCAUCAGCACUUUGUCAGGUGUGUAGCUGCUGCUUCUGCUCCUGUCUGGAUGACACUUGGCAGCAUGUUUUCUGGGGCCUUGGGCCCUGAGGGAGCUGACAGAUGACAUCCAGUGUCUCUUCAAGCUCCUCUGCUGGAAUUGAGCUGUAAGGUUCCCAGGGGUCUUGCUGACAUUCACUUGGCAGUUAGGACAUGUCAAGCUGCAGCAGAUACUGUCAUAUUCGCGCUUGAAUCUUGCCACACCCCCAGCGAUGCCGGCCUAGCGCCUGCAGCUCUGCCCUCACUGGUGUCAGAGCUGGUCUUCAAUUUUCAUUCUCACUUCACUGUGCUGGUGAGUGGCUGUACUGUACCAUUGCUAAUUCCUCUGCCUGCGAGGGAUUAAUCGUUGCACUAUCACUGAGAACGUAUUAUCACUAGGGGUGACACGAAGGUCUCAAUUUGCCAAACAAUCCUUCUUCAUCACAGCAGACAUUCUUUCGUUAAAUAAAUUCACACCGCAUGGCCAGAUGUGCUUUGAGUCAACAGGUGGGCACCAUACAUAUGCGUACUAUUUGAAGCGGUCUUUCCCAAUGACUGGUGCUUUGAAGUGAUACAUUUCUUAGGAGGGCCAAAGUCAUAAGGGUAUGUUUGAUUUUCUCUUUGCAUACGGCCUUGUGCUCGGCUCUCUUGGCACAGCCGUAUCGCUUUCGAACGUAAACAAAUCCAUACUCUUUCUUCUCUUUCCAUUCUGCUAGUGAUGCAGUAACGGAAUGUGUACUUCAAAAACGGACCGUGGCUCUCUCAAAAACUACAAAUCAAUUAUCGACACAUCCACAUUCCAUGCUGUGGGCGUGUUGUAUGUGUGUGCCGGUGACGUGUGCGUGUGUGUGUGUGUGUGUGCCGGUGUGUGCCGGUGUGUGUGUAUGUGUAUGUGUGCGUGCGUGUGUGUGCGUGUUGUAUGUGUGUGUAUGUGUGUGUCGGUGUGUGUGCG